RNAcentral lists this ribosomal RNA (497 nucleotides) under uncultured bacterium. RNAcentral describes it as "partial 16S ribosomal RNA". It matches the Rfam family "Bacterial small subunit ribosomal RNA", at positions 28 to 507 of the family's 1533-position model. The record is from RNAcentral.
GAUGAACGCUGGCGGCGUGCCUAAUACAUGCAAGUCGAGCGAACGGACGCGACGCUUGCUUCUCUGACGUUAGCGGCGGACGGGUGAGUCACACGUGGAUAACCUACCUAUAAGACUGGGAUAACCUCGGGAAACCGGAGCUAACCCCGUAUAAUCUUCUGCACCGCAUGGUUCAAAAGUGAGAGACGGUCUUGCUGUCUCUAAUAGCUGGAUCCGGGCUGCAUUAGCUAGUUGGUAAGGUAACGGCCUACGACGGCAACGAUGCGUAGCCGAAGUGAGAGAGGGGUCGGCCACAUGGGAAGUGAGACACGGACCAGACGCCUGCGGGAGGCAGCAGUAGGGAAUGGGCCGCAGUGGGGGAAAACCUUGCGGAGCAAGGGCGCGUGAGUGGUGGAGGUGCUGGGAUCGUGAAGCUCUGUUAUUGGGGAAAAACAUAUGUGGAAGUAGCUGUGGACUUCUUGACGGUACCGGGUCAGAAAGCCACGGCUAACUACGUG